AUACGGAGGGGGCGAGCGUUGUUCGGAAUUACUGGGCGUAAAGCGCGUGUAGGCGGUCGAGCAAGUCGAAUGUGAAAUCCCUGGGCUCAACCCGGGAAUUGCAUCCGAAACUGCUUGGCUAGAGUCCCGGAGAGGAAGGCAGAAUUCCCAGUGUAGGGGUGAAAUCCGUAGAUAUUGGGAGGAAUACCAGUGGCGAAGGCGGCCUUCUGGACGGUGACUGACGCUGAGAUGCGAAAGCGUGGGGAGCAAACAGGAUUAGAUACCCGAGUAGUCC
RNAcentral lists this ribosomal RNA (274 nucleotides) under uncultured bacterium. RNAcentral describes it as "partial 16S ribosomal RNA". It matches the Rfam family "Bacterial small subunit ribosomal RNA", at positions 523 to 796 of the family's 1533-position model. The record is from RNAcentral.